GACGAACGCUGGCGGCGUGCUUAACACAUGCAAGUCGAACGGAAAGGCCCCUUUGGGGGUACUCGAGUGGCGAACGGGUGAGUAAAACGUGAGUAACCUGCCCUUGACUUCGGGAUAACUUCAGGAAACUGGGGCUAAUACCGGAUAGGAAUCCUUGCUGCAUGGGGGGGGUUGGAAAGCUUCGGCGGUUUUGGAUGGACUCGCGGCUUAUCAGCUUGUUGGUGGGGUAGUGGCUUACCAAGGCUUUGACGGGUAGCCGGCCUGAGAGGGCGACCGGCCACAUUGGGACUGAGCUACGGCCCAGACUCCUACGGGAGGCAGCAGUGGGGAAUAUUGCACAAGGGGCGGAAGCCUGAUGCAGCAACGCCGCGUGCGGGAUGACGGCCUUCGGGUUGUAAACCGCUUUCAGCAGGGGCGAAGCUUGUGGUGACGGUACCUGCAGAAGAAGCACCGGCUAACUACGUG
This 465-nucleotide ribosomal RNA is filed under the name uncultured bacterium. RNAcentral's name for it is "partial 16S ribosomal RNA". It matches the Rfam family "Bacterial small subunit ribosomal RNA", at positions 28 to 507 of the family's 1533-position model. The record is from RNAcentral.